RNAcentral lists this ribosomal RNA (540 nucleotides) under Euplica turturina. RNAcentral describes it as "partial small subunit ribosomal RNA". The record is from RNAcentral. Lineage: Eukaryota; Metazoa; Mollusca; Gastropoda; Neogastropoda; Columbellidae.
GACCAAAAGAUAAGGUUAUAUAGAUAGGUAAAAAGAUAGUUAGGUAAAGAUAAGUUUAAAGAUCUAUUAUAAAAAGGUAAAAUUUGAAUAUAAUAGUAUAAAAUAUAAUAAACUAAAAUGCUGAAGCUAUGAUAAUUUUGAGGGAAACUGGGAUUAGAUACCCCAUUAUUCAAAACUUUAAAUCAAUAUAAAUUUACCAGAGUACUAUGAAUAGAUAAAAUUUAAAACUCAAAGGGCUUGGCGGUGUUUUAGACCAAUUAGGGGAACCUGUCUCAUAAUCGACAAUCCACGUUAAACCUAACCUUUUGUUGUAAUACAGUUUGUAUACCGUCGUCGUCAGGUAACUUUUAAAAAUUAAGAAGUUGGCAUAUACAAUAAUAUUAGUUAAAACGUCAGAUCAAGGUGCAGCUUAUAAAAAGGAGAGGAUGGGUUACAAUUAUAAAGUUAUAAUUAUGGAUAGUUUAGUGAAAAAAGCUUGAAGGAGGACUUAAAAGUAAUUAUGUAAUAUAUAAAUAGCUUGAAUAAGGCUCUGAAACGUGC